AAUGAACGUUGGCGGCGUGGAUUAGGCAUGCAAGUCGAGCGAGAACCCGCAAGGGGGACAGCGGCAAACGGGGUAGGAAUGAUUGGUGACGUACCCUCGGGACGGGGAUAGCCACGGGAAACUGUGGGUAAUACCCGAUAAUCUCCCAGGUUUGAAGACCUGGGUGCAAAGGUGUGAUUCCACCGGAGGAGCGGCCAAUCUGGUAUUAGCUAGUUGGUAGGGUAACGGCCUACCAAGGCUACGAUGCAUAGGGGGUGUGAGAGCAUGGCCCCCACCACUGGGAAUGAGAUACUGCCCGGACACCUACGGGUGGCUGCAGGCGAGAAUCUUCGGCAAUGGGCGAAAGCCUGACCGAGCGACGCCGCGUGCGGGAUGAAGGCCUUCGGGUUGUAAACCGCUGUCAGAGGGGAUGAAGUUAUAGGAGGUUCUCCUUCUAUAUUGACAGAGCCUCAGAGGAAGCACGGGCUAAGUAUGUGCCAGCAGCCGCGGUAA
Molecule: ribosomal RNA, 492 nt
Filed under: uncultured bacterium
Lineage: Bacteria
Description: partial 16S ribosomal RNA
Rfam family: Bacterial small subunit ribosomal RNA
Source: RNAcentral